CCUACGGGUUGCAGCAGUGGGGAAUAUUGCACAAUGGGCGCAAGCCUGAUGCAGCCAUGCCGCGUGUAUGAAGAAGGCCUUCGGGUUGUAAAGUACUUUCAGCGGGGAGGAAGGUAGUGUAGUUAACACCUGCACUAUUUGACGUUACCUACAGAAGAAGCACCGGCUAACUCCGUGCCAGCAGCCGCGGUAAUACGGAGGGUGCGAGCGUUAAUCGGAAUUACUGGGCGUAAAGCGCAUGCAGGCGGCCUGUUAAGUCAGAUGUGAAAGCCCGGGGCUUAACCUCGGAAUUGCAUUUGAAACUGGCAGGCUAGAGUCUUGUAGAGGGGGGUAGAAUUACAGGUGUAGCGGUGAAAUGCGUAGAGAUCUGAAGGAAUACCAGUGGCGAAGGCGGCCCCCUGGACAAAGACUGACGCUCAGAUGCGAAAGCGUGGGGAGCAAACAGGAUUAGAUACCCGGGUAGUC
This 465-nucleotide ribosomal RNA is filed under the name uncultured bacterium. Its description in RNAcentral is "bacterial SSU rRNA". It matches the Rfam family "Bacterial small subunit ribosomal RNA", at positions 338 to 795 of the family's 1533-position model. The record is from RNAcentral.